Molecule: non-coding RNA, 76 nt
Organism: Phrynosoma platyrhinos (Desert horned lizard)
Lineage: Eukaryota; Metazoa; Chordata; Lepidosauria; Squamata; Phrynosomatidae
Source: the annotation of a GenBank genome assembly
UUCUAAGUGUGGCAUAGUGUUUUCAGUGUUUUGGACUAUGACUCUGGAGACCAGGGUUCAAUUCUCAGCUUGGCCA